Molecule: ribosomal RNA, 612 nt
Filed under: Cicindela (Rivacindela) sp. JP-59a
Lineage: Eukaryota; Metazoa; Arthropoda; Insecta; Coleoptera; Carabidae
Description: partial 16S ribosomal RNA
Rfam family: Bacterial large subunit ribosomal RNA
Source: RNAcentral
UUUAAGGUCUAACCUGCCCAAUGAGGAUUUAAAUGGCCGCAGUAUUUUGACUGUGCAAAGGUAGCAUAAUUAUUAGUUUUUUAAUUGAAAGCUUGUAUGAAGGGUUGGACGAGAUAAAAUCUGUCUUUAUUUAAAUUAAAGUAUAAUUUAACUUUUAAGUCAAAAGGCUUAAAUGUUUAUAAAAGACGAGAAGACCCUAUAGAUCUUUAUUUAAUUAAGAUUUUAAUAAUUUAGGAUUAUUUUAAUUUGGAGUCUUAAUUAAAUUUUAUUGGGGUAAUAUAAAGAUUAAAUGAAUUCUUUUUAUUUAUGACAUUAAUUUAUGAAUAUAUGAUCCAUUAAUAUUGAUUAUAAGAUUAAGUUACCUUAGGGAUAACAGCGUAAUUUUUUUGGAGAGCUCAUAUCGAUAAGAAAGUUUGCGACCUCGAUGUUGGAUUAAAAAUUAGCUUGGGUGCAGAAGCUCAAGAUUUUGGUCUGUUCGACCAUUAAAUUUUUACAUGAUCUGAGUUCAGACCGGCGUAAGCCAGGUCGGUUUCUAUCUUUAUUUAGAUAAAAUAUUUUAGUACGAAAGGACCAAGUAUUUAAUAUAAUUAUAUUUAUUUUUUGAAGAAUAUU